Molecule: ribosomal RNA, 568 nt
Filed under: uncultured bacterium
Lineage: Bacteria
Description: bacterial SSU rRNA
Rfam family: Bacterial small subunit ribosomal RNA
Source: RNAcentral
AAUAGAUACCCCGGUACGUCCACGCCGUAAACGAUGGAUACUAGCUGUUGGAGGUAUCGACCCCUUCGAGUAGCGAAGCUAACGCGUUAAGUAUCCCGCCUGUGGAGUACGGUCGCAAGACUAAAACAUAAAGGAAUUGACGGGGACCCGCACAAGCGGUGGAUCAUGUUCUUUAAUUCGAUGAUAAACGAAGAACCUUACCAGGGUUUGACAUCCCGAGAAUUAAUCCGAAAGGAUUGAGUGCCCCGUAGUUAUUUGAACGCUAUGACUUUUAGUUAUAGAUAAGGUUGAGAUAAGUACGGGGAACUCGGUGACAGAUGAUGCAUGGCCGUCGUCAGCUCGUGUCGUGAGAUGUUUGGUUAAGUCCAUCAACGAGCGCAACCCUUGUAGUUAGUUGUAUUUUUCUAGCUAGACUGCCCCGGUAACGGGGAGGAAGGAGGGGAUGAGGUCAGGUCUGUAUUUCUCUUAUGCCUUGGGCUACGAACACGCUACAAUGGCCGGUACAAGGGCUGCCAACCCGGCGAGGGGAGCAAAUCCCAUCAAAACCGGUCCCAGUUCGGAUAGCAGG